AGCGAACGCUGGCGGCGUGCCUAACACAUGCAAGUCGAACGUGAAAGGGAGCAAUCCCAAGUAAAGUGGCGUACGGGUGAGUAACACGUAGGUAAUCUACCCCAGAAUCUGGAAUAACCGGCCGAAAGGCUGGCUAAUACUGGAUAGAGCGACGGAAUCCGUAAUUGGGUUUUUCGGGAAAGGGAGCCUGUAAAAAGGCCUUCGUUCUGGGAUGAGCCUGCGUCCCAUCAGCUAGUUGGUGAGGUAAAAGCUUACCAAGGCAAUGACGGGUAGCUGGUCUGAGAGGACGAUCAGCCACACUGGAACUGAAACACGGUCCAGACUCCUCCGGGAGGCAGCAGUGGGGAAUCUUGCGCAAUGGACGAAAGUCUGACGCAGCAACGCCGCGUGAGUGAAGAAGGCCUUCGAGUUGUAAAGCUCUGUCGAGUGGGACGAAAAUGCUUGGAGUUCACAGCUCCAGGAACUGACGGUACCACUAAAGGAAGCACCGGCUAACUCCGUG
This 502-nucleotide ribosomal RNA is filed under the name uncultured bacterium. RNAcentral describes it as "partial 16S ribosomal RNA". It matches the Rfam family "Bacterial small subunit ribosomal RNA", at positions 29 to 507 of the family's 1533-position model. The record is from RNAcentral.